GUCUUUUCUCCUUUACAUGGUGAAGGGACAAGUCGCAAAAAUGUUGGCUGCAAGUUACUUUAUGCUCUGUCAUUCCACAAAUGUUUAUAAGGUGUAAACACGGGGCCAAAACCUUUUGAAGAAUAAACAACGUGCCAGAAACAAUACAAAGAAUCAUGAGCAAUCUCUACUCCAGACACAUGGGUAGCCUCAAGGACUCUGAACAAACUCAAAUGAUUCAGUUAGCUGCUCUGGCUCUGGACCAUAGCAACCGCCAGAAAGCAGCUUCUGGUGCCUCACCACCCCGUGGCUGUCAACUCCCGGAUUAAAGCCUGUCUUACCCAGAAGUCCUCGCUGACUAACACUUCCUACCAACGGCCAGCUCUUGCUUCCACUGUGGCAAGUAUAACAGCUAUGUUCUUGGCUCCAGUGGCCUUUGGCAAUCUAUUUUAAAAUUCCAAUCAUCCUUCCAAAAGUGCUUCACAAAAAGAAAAAAAAAACACAAUUGUUAUUAUACCUAUGUACAGUGUUGGAGGCUCCCCC
This 522-nucleotide long non-coding RNA is filed under the name Mustela putorius furo (domestic ferret). RNAcentral describes it as "lncRNA (ENSMPUG00000029344.1)". The record is from RNAcentral. Lineage: Eukaryota; Metazoa; Chordata; Mammalia; Carnivora; Mustelidae.